AAAUUGAAGAGUUUGAUCAUGGCUCAGAUUGAACGCUGGCGGCAGGCCUAACACAUGCAAGUCGAGCGGAAACGAGUUAUCUGAACCUUCGGGGAACGAUAACGGCGUCGAGCGGCGGACGGGUGAGUAAUGCCUAGGAAAUUGCCUUGAUGUGGGGGAUAACCAUUGGAAACGAUGGCUAAUACCGCAUAAUGCCUACGGGCCAAAGAGGGGGACCUUCGGGCCUCUCGCGUCAAGAUAUGCCUAGGUGGGAUUAGCUAGUUGGUGAGGUAAUGGCUCACCAAGGCGACGAUCCCUAGCUGGUCUGAGAGGAUGAUCA
This 319-nucleotide ribosomal RNA is filed under the name Vibrio sp. HI00D65. RNAcentral's name for it is "bacterial SSU rRNA". It matches the Rfam family "Bacterial small subunit ribosomal RNA", at positions 1 to 306 of the family's 1533-position model. Lineage: Bacteria; Pseudomonadati; Pseudomonadota; Gammaproteobacteria; Vibrionales; Vibrionaceae. The record is from RNAcentral.